GACCAAGGAGUCUAACAUGUGCGCGAGUCAUUGGGUCUUGAAUAGGCCCAAAGGCGUAAUGAAAGUGAAGGGCGGUUCGGCCGUCUGCCUUGGGAUCCCGUGAACCUCGCGUUCGCGGGCGCACCAAGGGCCCGUCCCGGUCGCCUCGUCGACGGGGCGGAGCAAGAGCGUACACGUUGGGACCCGAAAGAUGGUGAACUAUGCCUGGGCAGGACGAAGCCAGAGGAAACUCUGGUGGAGGUCCGCAGCGAUUCUGACGUGCAAAUCG
RNAcentral lists this ribosomal RNA (268 nucleotides) under Pantopsalis listeri. Its description in RNAcentral is "partial large subunit ribosomal RNA". It matches the Rfam family "Eukaryotic large subunit ribosomal RNA", at positions 664 to 900 of the family's 3401-position model. The record is from RNAcentral. Lineage: Eukaryota; Metazoa; Arthropoda; Arachnida; Opiliones; Neopilionidae.